Molecule: ribosomal RNA, 566 nt
Filed under: Pleurosicya prognatha
Lineage: Eukaryota; Metazoa; Chordata; Actinopteri; Gobiiformes; Gobiidae
Description: partial 16S ribosomal RNA
Rfam family: Bacterial large subunit ribosomal RNA
Source: RNAcentral
CGCCUCUUGCCCAAUAUAAGAGGUUGCGCCUGCCCAGUGACAAAAGUUCAACGGCCGCGGUAUUUUGACCGUGCGAAGGUAGCGUAAUAACUUGUCUCCUAAAUAGAGACCCGUAUGAAUGGCACGACGAGGGCCAAACUGUCUCCUUUUCCCAGUCGAUGAAAUUGAUCCCUCCGUGCAGAAGCGGAGAUAUGACCAUAAGACGAGAAGACCCUGUGGAGCUUUAGACUCCGGACAUCCCAUCCUACGCGCCCCUUUUUGAAUUAGGAAAGACCAGAUGGCAACUGUCCCUGUCUUUGGUUGGGGUGACCAAGGGGAAUGAAAUAACCCCCACGUGGAAAGGUAAAUAAUUCACCUAAAAUCAGAGCCACAUCUCUAGUUACCAGAACUUCUGACCGUCAAGACCCAGCAAUGCUGAGCAACGGACCAAGUUACCCCAGGGAUAACAGCGCAAUCCUCUUUCAGAGCCCCUAUCGACAAGAGGGUUUACGACCUCGAUGUUGGAUCAGGGCACCCUAAUGGUGCAGCCGCUAUUAAGGGUUCGUUUGUUCAACGAUUAAAGCCCU